UACGAAGGGGGCUAGCGUUGCUCGGAAUUACUGGGCGUAAAGCGCACGUAGGCGGCUUUCUAAGUCGGAGGUGAAAUCCUGGAGCUCAACUCCAGAACUGCCUUCGAUACUGGAGAGCUUGAGUCCGGGAGAGGUGAGUGGAACUGCGAGUGUAGAGGUGAAAUUCGUAGAUAUUCGCAAGAACACCAGUGGCGAAGGCGGCCAACUGGUCCGGUACUGACGCUGAGGUGCGAAAGCGUGGGGAGCAAACAGG
This 253-nucleotide ribosomal RNA is filed under the name uncultured bacterium. Its description in RNAcentral is "partial 16S ribosomal RNA". It matches the Rfam family "Bacterial small subunit ribosomal RNA", at positions 524 to 776 of the family's 1533-position model. The record is from RNAcentral.